Molecule: ribosomal RNA, 497 nt
Filed under: uncultured bacterium
Lineage: Bacteria
Description: partial 16S ribosomal RNA
Rfam family: Bacterial small subunit ribosomal RNA
Source: RNAcentral
GAUGAACGCUGGCGGCAUGCCUAAUACAUGCAAGUCGAGCGGACAGACGAUGAGCUUUCUCCUCUGCCGUUAGCGGCGGACGGGCGAGUAACACGUGCAUAACCUACCUAUAAGACUGGGAUAACUUCGGGAAAACGCAGCUACUACCAGAUAAUAUAACGAACCGCAUGGUUCAAUAGUGAAAGACGGUUUUGCCGUCACAAUUAGAUGGAUCCGCGCCGGAUUAGCUAGUUGGUAAGGUAACGGCCUACCAAGGCAACGAUGCGUAGCCGACCUGAGAGGGUGAUCGGCCACACUGGAACUGAGACACGGUCCAGACUCCUACGGGAGGCAGCAGUGGGGAAUAUUCGGCAAUGGGCGAAAGCCUGACCCAGCCAUGCCGCGUGAGUGAUGAAGGUCUUCGGAUCGUAAAACUCUGUUAUUAGGAAAGAAAAGCUGUAUAAGUAAAUAUGCAUGUCCUGACGGUACCUAAUGAGAAAGCACCGGCUAACUACGUG